UGUAAAUGUGUGUGUGUGUAUGAAAUGAGGAUCCCUAUGACCACUAAACUGAACGACACUCAAUAGAUUACAUCAGUUCGGGACCACAGGGAAAAGCCUCACGUCCAGUAACACCAGGAGCCAGAAGUGGGAUCUGACACUUCAAAACAAUCACAUUCUUUCUCUUCUUUGUUCCAUUUCCUCAAUAGUAACAGAAUUUUAUGAAACGAUACACCACAUCUUGACUAUUUGGCGCCAAACAGAAUGGAGCAACAGAAGGAGGGAGAGGAGGGGUAUGAGAAAAAGAGCAGCGCCUGAAAGAAUCAUCUCGCUUUCAUUAACUCUGCAUGUCGCUCUUUCUCUUUCUCCUGCUCUUGUAUGCUCCAACUCUUUCUGUCUCUCAGUUUCUUUCUUGCUCAUUUUUUCACACACACACACACACACACACACACACACACACACAC
Tachysurus vachellii is the source of this 443-nucleotide long non-coding RNA. RefSeq lists it as uncharacterized. The transcript is spliced from 3 exons. The record is from RefSeq and is a predicted model, not a curated record. NCBI's taxonomy places the organism in Eukaryota, Metazoa, Chordata, Actinopteri, Siluriformes, Bagridae.